This 465-nucleotide ribosomal RNA is filed under the name uncultured bacterium. Its description in RNAcentral is "partial 16S ribosomal RNA". It matches the Rfam family "Bacterial small subunit ribosomal RNA", at positions 339 to 795 of the family's 1533-position model. The record is from RNAcentral.
CUACGGGCGGCAGCAGUGGGGAAUAUUGGACAAUGGGGGAAACCCUGAUCCAGCAAUGCCGCGUGUGUGAAGAAGGCCUGCGGGUUGUAAAGCACUUUCGGUUGGGAGGACUGCUUCUAGCACUAAUAUUGUUGGAAGUUGACGUUACCUUCAGAAGAAGCACCGGCUAACUCCGUGCCAGCAGCCGCGGUAAUACGGAGGGUGCAGGCGUUAAUCGGAAUUACUGGGCGUAAAGCGCGCGUAGGCGGCUAGAUCAGUCGGGUGUGAAAGCCCCGGGCUUAACCUGGGAACUGCAUCCGAUACUGUCUAGCUUGAGUACAGGAGAGGAGAGUGGAAUUCCACAUGUAGCGGUGAAAUGCGUAGAUAGGUGGAGGAACACCAAUGGCGAAGGCAGCUCUCUGGCCUGAUACUGACGCUGAGGUGCGAAAGCGUGGGGAGCAAACAGGAUUAGAUACCCCUGUAGUC